GGGGCUGACUUGGAUUUCGACAGAUUUCUUGUCGCACAGACAGCAUGCCAAGUGCUGCUUGUAAAACAGCAACAAAAAUAACUGUAAACAACGCAGAUUACGCUCCAGCUUACGCUAAAGCCGCGUGAGUUAAUCUCCUUUUGGAGCUGGACUGAUUAGAAUUUCUAGCGUUUUAAUCACUCCAUAACCUUAAGCUAGACGCUUUUAAAAGGUGGUUCGCCUUUUAAACUAAGAAACAAGAACUCUUGAAACUACCUCAAGGUUUUAGAAAGUUGGACCAGAGCUAGUUUUAAGGCUAAAAAACUAACCAAUUUUCUAAGCAUUGUAGAAGUUUGUGUUUAGGGCAAGAUUUUUGGACUGGGGUUCGAUUCCCCACAGCUCCACCA
Molecule: transfer-messenger RNA, 386 nt
Filed under: Helicobacter pylori
Lineage: Bacteria; Pseudomonadati; Campylobacterota; Epsilonproteobacteria; Campylobacterales; Helicobacteraceae
Also listed under: 1 other name
Rfam family: transfer-messenger RNA
About the family: Bacterial tmRNA, also known as 10Sa RNA or SsrA, is named for its dual tRNA and mRNA-like properties.
Source: RNAcentral